Molecule: ribosomal RNA, 505 nt
Filed under: uncultured bacterium
Lineage: Bacteria
Description: partial 16S ribosomal RNA
Rfam family: Bacterial small subunit ribosomal RNA
Source: RNAcentral
AGUGAACGCUGGCGGUAGGCCUAACACAUGCAAGUCGAACGGCAGCACAGGAGAGCUUGCUCUCUGGGUGGCGAGUGGCGGACGGGUGAGGAAUACAUCGGAAUCUACUCUGUCGUGGGGGAUAACGUAGGGAAACUUACGCUAAUACCGCAUACGACCUACGGGUGAAAGCAGGGGACCUUAGGGCCUUGCGCGAUUGAGUGAGCCGAUGUCGGAUUAGCUAGUUGGCGGGGUAAAGGCCCACCAAGGCGACGAUCCGUAGCUGGUCUGAGAGGAUGAUCAGCCACGCUGGAACUGAGACACGGUCCAGACUCCUACGGGAGGCAGCAGUGGGGAAUAUUGGACAAUGGCGCAAGCCUGAUCCAGCCAUACCGCGUGGGUGAAGAAGGCCUUCGGGUUGUAAAGCCCUUUUGUUGGGAAAGAAAUCCAGCUGGCUAAUACCCGGUUGGGAUGACGGUACCCAAAGAAUAAGCACCGGCUAACUUCGUGCCAGCCGCCGCCGUAA